CAAAGAAUAAUUCUAGAAUUUCUUCCCAAAUAUAUUUUCCAUCUACAUAGGAGUUUCAUACAUGAUCCACGUAUAGUUUUCAAUCCUCGAAGAAUAUUUCAAUGAAUAUCAUCAUAUAUAUAUAUUUAGCCCAAACCUUAAACAACAUUUCAUAUUUUGAACCUUAACUUGUCACCGAAUUAAUUAACUUCAAGCUAGAAGUAACAUCAUAGUACCCGAUAUCAAUUUGAACAUCCAAAAUACUUACAUUGCACGAUAAUAUUCCAAGACUAAUACUCUUUCACUUAACUUAGUCAAAAUCCAAUUAAUAAUAUCUUAGAAUACAAAUUAUUCCACCAAGAAAACUCUCAAAAUAGUCUAUUCAUAUUUUGGCUAUAAACACAGUUAGCUAGCAUUUUGAUUUUAGUAUCACAAAAUUCAGAUAAGAUAGCACAAAUUUACCACUAAGAAAAGUAAACAAAAAUAUUGGUCUUCUUGCCCCAUCUCUCAAACUUUCCGACAAAUUCUCAGAAUCCUAAAAGCUAUGCUCUGAUGUGACUAAUCAUGAUUCCCAAGUAAUCUUAAACCUAAGCUCUGAUACCAUAAAAGUUGUCACGCCCCCAGCCCGAGAUCGCGAACCGGGGGUCCGCGCCAACCACCGCACACCCGUAGGAAACUCUCCCCACGAGCAUGCAAGGCAUCUAAACCAAACACCUCAAUUAUGAAAUUCCAAAAUAAUUUAACAGAAUAAAUUGAAAGCUUAUUCCAUUGACUAACUCAAGUCAUAAUGUCUCACAAGUCUAAAUAUGCA
RNAcentral lists this long non-coding RNA (790 nucleotides) under Phoenix dactylifera (date palm). Its description in RNAcentral is "long non-coding RNA (PDAC_LNC009418)". Lineage: Eukaryota; Viridiplantae; Streptophyta; Magnoliopsida; Arecales; Arecaceae. The record is from RNAcentral.